RNAcentral lists this ribosomal RNA (648 nucleotides) under uncultured fungus. Its description in RNAcentral is "eukaryotic LSU rRNA". The stretch from base 237 to 391 matches the Rfam family "5.8S ribosomal RNA". The record is from RNAcentral. Lineage: Eukaryota; Fungi.
AAGUCGUAACAAGGUUUUCGUAGGUGAACCUGCGGAAGGAUCAUUAAUGAGUUUUGGGAGUCCCUCUUAACCGGAGAAGGCCCAUCUACACUUAUUUCUCACACUUGUGAAUCGUUGAUGGAUGAUUGGCCCCUUGUCACGAGGGGGUACACCCAGUCGUUCUAUCGUUUAACCUUUUUUAACCCUUUGUGUAAUUGCAAAAGUGUUGAUAAUACAAGUUGAUCAAAUGAAAGAAAAACUUUCAGCAAUGGAUCUCUUGGCUCUCGCAUCGAUGAAGAACGCAGCGAAACGCGAAAUGUAAUGUGAAUUGCAGAAUUCAGUGAAUCAUCGAAUCUUUGAACGCACCUUGCGCUCCCGGGCCAUUCCUGAGAGCAUGUUUGUUUGAGUGUCGCUUACCCCUCUCAACCCCGUUUGUUUUUCGGAACGAAUAGUCUUAGGGUUGGAUCGUGACCUUUUGUUGGGCUUUGCAUUGAAUUGCGAGGCUUAUCCAACUGGGUUGAAUAGCAACAAGCUGAAUCCAACUCAGCGGCUUGACCUGUUGUCGUAACUUAAAACUCAAUAGGGACGCUGAUAGUAGAACGAGCUUACCAUAAAUUUGUUUUUAUCACAAAUGACCUCAAAUCAAGCAGGACUACCCGCUGAACUUAA